AAAUAUAUACAAAUUUGAUACGAAAUCUCUCUUCCUCUUUAAAGAAAAACUUGCGAAAAUUCAAUGUACCCUUCCAAUAUAGGUAUACUUUAGCUCUGUACAAUAAUAUCAUCUAUACUCUGUAGUGUGUAUUUUUGUCUGCACUCGAUAUACUUUGUUUUUUGAGUACGUACCUAUGUAUAUAUUUUAUUUGUGCGAGGGG
Molecule: non-coding RNA, 202 nt
Organism: Cinara cedri
Lineage: Eukaryota; Metazoa; Arthropoda; Insecta; Hemiptera; Aphididae
Source: the annotation of a GenBank genome assembly